RNAcentral lists this ribosomal RNA (240 nucleotides) under Paenibacillus xylanilyticus. RNAcentral's name for it is "partial 16S ribosomal RNA". It matches the Rfam family "Bacterial small subunit ribosomal RNA", at positions 1 to 226 of the family's 1533-position model. The record is from RNAcentral. Lineage: Bacteria; Bacillati; Bacillota; Bacilli; Caryophanales; Paenibacillaceae.
UUUAUUGGAGAGUUUGAUCCUGGCUCAGGACGAACGCUGGCGGCAUGCCUAAUACAUGCAAGUCGAGCGGAGUUGAUAGGAAGCUUGCUUCCUUGAUGCUUAGCGGCGGACGGGUGAGUAACACGUAGGCAACCUGCCCUCAAGCUUGGGACAACUACCGGAAACGGUAGCUAAUACCGAAUACUUGCUUCCUUCGCCUGAAGGGAGCUGGAAAGACGGAGCAAUCUGUCACUUGAGGAU